This 242-nucleotide long non-coding RNA is filed under the name Ananas comosus (pineapple). RNAcentral's name for it is "long non-coding RNA (ACOM_LNC035824)". Lineage: Eukaryota; Viridiplantae; Streptophyta; Magnoliopsida; Poales; Bromeliaceae. The record is from RNAcentral.
GGGUGGAGGCCACACUAUUUAUAGGCCACUCGCCGCCCAUAAUGCCAAUGGAAAGGUGCCAAGUGGCACAAUACUACUAGCCAAAAGGGGAGGCCACGCGGUCUCCCAAGAGUCCUAAUAAAUAUCAUAGAAACUCGAAGAGUCAUACAUUUAUUGACUACCUAGAAACUCUAAGGGACUCUUGACCCUCCGGUAUCCGCACCAUUAGUCUCGAGAUCCGCGUAGAAGCUUCUAGAAGAUUC